GGGUGCGAUCAUACCAGCGUUAAUGCACCAGAUCCCAUCAGAACUCCACAGUUAAGCGUGCUUCGGCUAGAGUAGUACUGGGAUGGGUGACCUCCCGAGAAGUCCUAGUGUUGCACCCU
Molecule: non-coding RNA, 119 nt
Organism: Picea glauca (white spruce)
Lineage: Eukaryota; Viridiplantae; Streptophyta; Pinopsida; Pinales; Pinaceae
Source: Rfam